This is a non-coding RNA of Cyanistes caeruleus (blue tit), 1450 nucleotides long. Lineage: Eukaryota; Metazoa; Chordata; Aves; Passeriformes; Paridae. The record is from RefSeq and is a predicted model, not a curated record.
GCAUAAUCCUUUGAUGGGAAAACCUUGACGGCCUUUCAGAAGAGGAAGAAAGCCCUCCUCUGCAGAGUCACCAGGGACUGGCUAUUACUAAUUGAUUCUACAUGGAGAACACACAGUGGUGACAGCCAUCAGUCUGAAACAGAACAAAACAUUUGACUCUUGGGAAAAGCAAAACCAGUGCCCUCUGAUGCCUUUAUGCAUUAUGAGAUUUGGACCUGACUACAGAUGAUUAUACACUGAUAAAUACUGCCACCAGUGCUCCAGUUAUACUGCUGGUCCUCCCAGUCAUGUUCAACACUGAGGAAAGCCUGAACACUGAAAUACUCCCUCGCUGCUGGGUGUUGGAAAAACUAGAAUAGGACAGCAAGAGUACAGCAGCAUCCCACCACCAGCCAUGGGGUUGUCUUUAAAACGAGACUGGACUGAGCGGUACCAUGGGCAGAAGAUCCUUCCUGCUCGUAGCAUUCUCACAGCUGGGUGAGAAGAGAUCUGGGAACACUCUGGCUGUGCACUCGGUGUAUCAUCUCUGGUGCUCUGGAAGUCCACAUCUGUGAUCUUUCAGCAGAUUCUGUCUGUGACACACUGGCUCAAGGGAUGUCCAAGUGAUAGUCAACAACCCAAGUACAAGGAGACUAAUGACUUAAAAUUGAGCCCUCUCUGUACAACUGAUGGAGUUUUGUUCCUGGGCUAUCUCCUUCUCGUUUCAUUCAGCAUGAAUGGCAGAUUCCUACAUCGUGUCAAGUUUCGGAUCACCAUAGAAACAAACUAGGAGGCAGUUUCAUUAAUCAUUUAGAGCACAAGAAGUCUAGGUCAGUCUGAUUGCAGCAUAUAGAGUAUCAUCCUAGCGCCACAUGGGACUCAGUUGAUUUGAAUUAAAAAAGAUUAAGCUGCCCCUAGGACGCUCAGCAUCAUCAGUUUAAGUUCUCAUGUAACAGUGGUCUCUGGAGCCACAUGGAUUAGGAGAGUGAAGCUAUGCAUUUAUUUUUCAGGGCUCAGUGAAACAUUAGAUGAGUGCAGGUGUCUGAGGGGGAAAAAAGGACAAAGAUCACAUAUAGUUUUUUAGACUUGUUGCUGUUCUUUUGAAACUGGAAACAAUAACUCAGUUUUAUUUCUCCAGUGACAGUUACCGCUCUUUUUUGGCCAUGCAAUGGUACAUCUGUUACCCAAUGUUUACAUUUUAGAUUUACAAAAAUUUCAUACUAUGAAGCAUAGUUUUAGCACAGAGCUGCAAGUUGGGCAUUGAAGUUUACAUGAAUGCUGACUUUUGCUUCUCCUGAUGGGGUAAAAAAUGCGUGAAAUAAAUACUGGUGACAUUUUAGUUUUGCUUGAAUGAAGAUUUAUUGCUCCCAGGAAACUGACAUACAGGCAGCUACAAAUCAACUUGACUAUGAAAUAGUUGUAUAUGUACACCACAAAAUGAGCCCCCCCUUCCAAAGUACUCACCUUAUUU